GCGGUGCUCGGCGAGGUGCCCGUGCUGGUUCUCGGCCGGCGCGGUGACGUCCUGGCGUGGAACCCGCCGGGUCACGCCCUGUACGCCGGCC
This 91-nucleotide transfer RNA is filed under the name Sphaerisporangium rufum. RNAcentral describes it as "tRNA-Glu". Lineage: Bacteria; Bacillati; Actinomycetota; Actinomycetes; Streptosporangiales; Streptosporangiaceae. The record is from RNAcentral.